CACGCAUGACACACUGCAUAUCAAUAAGCGGAGGAAAAGAAACUAACAAGGAUUCCCUUAGUAACGGCGAGUGAAGCGGGAAGAGCUCAAAUUUGAAAUCUUCAAGGUUCUACCUUGACGAAUUGUAGUUUAAAGAAGUGUUUUCUGUUAGUGGAGUGGCAAAAGUUCUCUGGAAUAGGACAUCAUAGAGGGUGAGAAUCCCGUAUUUGGUCAUUCCUUCUAGCGUUGUGAUACACUUUCAAAGAGUCGGAUUGUUUGGGAAUGCAGUCCAAAAUGGGUGGUAAAUUUCAUCUAAAGCUAAAUAUUAGCGAGAGACCGAUAGCGAACAAGUACCGUGAGGGAAAGAUGAAAAGAACUUUGAAAAGAGAGUUAAACAGUAUGUGAAAUUGUCAAAAGGGAAGCGUUUGACACCAGUGUUGUUUUCUCGAAAAUCAAUUAAAAAGUGUUGGAUUUUGUAUUGUUAAGACCUUAUCAGCUUACUGUACUCUUUUCCUGCUCUUUUAAUGCACUUUUCGUUUAACAAGUCAACAUCAAUUUCUUUUGUUGUAAAAGAGUCAUUGGAAGGUGGCUUUCACUUCGGUGAAAGUGUUUAUAGCCUUUGGCUUCUGCAAUCGGAGAGAUUGAGGUCUGCAGCGUAGAUCCUUCGGGGCUAGAUACGUAGAUGCUAAGUUAUAGUUUUUUAUAGACAACUUGUUGACUAUGAUUAAUCAUGUAGCUUACUCGUUUGCGCUAUUUUACCUACGCUUAGGAUGUUGAUAGUCACAGCGUGUAC
This 772-nucleotide ribosomal RNA is filed under the name uncultured Neocallimastigales. RNAcentral describes it as "partial large subunit ribosomal RNA". It matches the Rfam family "Eukaryotic large subunit ribosomal RNA", at positions 24 to 628 of the family's 3401-position model. The record is from RNAcentral. Lineage: Eukaryota; Fungi; Neocallimastigomycota; Neocallimastigomycetes; Neocallimastigales.